CCUACGGGUGGCAGCAGUGGGGAAUAUUGCACAAUGGGCGCAAGCCUGAUGCAGCGACGCCGCGUCAGCGAUGAAGGCCUUCGGGUCGUAAAGCUCUGUCCUAAGGGAAGAAUAAUGACGGUACCUUAGGUGGAAGCCCCGGAUAACUACGUGCCAGCAGCCGCGGUCAUACGUAGGGGGCGAGCGUUAUCCGGAAUCACUGGGCGUAAAGGGUGCGUAGGCGGCCCUACAAGUCAGGAGUUAAAUCCCACGGCGCUACCGGGGUCAGCUCUUGAAACUGUAGGGCUUGAGUGCAGGAGAGCGGUGCGGUAUUCCUAGUGUAGCGGUGAAAUGCGUAGAUAUUAGGGGGAACGCCAGUGGCGAAGGCGGCUCUCUGGACUGCAACUGACGCUGAGGCACGAAAGCGUGCGGAGCGAACAGGAUUAGAUUACCCCAGUAGUC
This 441-nucleotide ribosomal RNA is filed under the name uncultured bacterium. Its description in RNAcentral is "bacterial SSU rRNA". It matches the Rfam family "Bacterial small subunit ribosomal RNA", at positions 338 to 795 of the family's 1533-position model. The record is from RNAcentral.